UAAAUUGUUUUGUAAAUUCAUGACU
RNAcentral lists this non-coding RNA (25 nucleotides) under Cricetulus griseus (Chinese hamster). Lineage: Eukaryota; Metazoa; Chordata; Mammalia; Rodentia; Cricetidae. The record is from RNAcentral.